This 850-nucleotide ribosomal RNA is filed under the name Phragmidium mexicanum. RNAcentral describes it as "eukaryotic LSU rRNA". It matches the Rfam family "Eukaryotic large subunit ribosomal RNA", at positions 1 to 812 of the family's 3401-position model. The record is from RNAcentral. Lineage: Eukaryota; Fungi; Basidiomycota; Pucciniomycetes; Pucciniales; Phragmidiaceae.
UCAAGUUAAGACCUCAAAUCAGGUGGGACUACCCGCUGAACUUAAGCAUAUCAAUAAGCGGAGGAAAAGAAACUAACCAGGAUUCCCCCAGUAACGGCGAGUGAAGAGGGAAAAGCCCAAAUUUGUAAUCUGGCUCUUUCAGGGUCCGAGUUGUAAUUUUGAGAACUGUUUUCAGUGCUGGACCAUUUCUAAGUCUGUUGAAAAAUAGCAUCAUUGAGGGUGAUAAUCCCGUUCAUGAUAUGGACUACCAGUGCAAUAUGAUACAGUUUCUAAGAGUCGAGUUGUUUGGGAAUGCAGCUCAAAGUGGGUGGUAAAUUCCAUCUAAGGCUAAAUAUAGGUGAGAGACCGAUAGCAUACAAGUACCGUGAGGGAAAGAUGAAAAGAACUUUGGAAAGAGAGUUAAAAGUACGUGAAAUUGUUGUAAGAGAAACAUUUGAAGUUAGCCUUGUGCUUGUUAGUUCAGCUCUUUAACUAGGGUGUAUUCUGACAAUGUCACGGACCAACAUCAGUUUUUGGGUGCUGGAUAAGGGUCUUAGAAAUGUAGCAGCCUUGGCUGUGUUAUAGUCUAUGAUUUAGAUACAGUGCCUGGGACUGAGGAAUAUUUGCAGCAAGCCAGUCACAUGGCUGCCCUUUUGUUACAAAGGGCACUCCUGCUGAGGAUGUUGGUGUCAAUAGCUUUAAAUGACCCGUCUUGAAACACGGACCAAGGAGUCUAACAUGCUUGCGAGUAUUUGGGUGUUGAAACCCUGAUGCGAAAUGAACGUGAAUGUAAAUGGGAUCCUUUACUGGUGCACCAUUGACCAGUCCUGAUUAUUUAUAUGAAGGUACUGAGUAAGAGCAAGUAUGUUGG